This is a long non-coding RNA of Dromiciops gliroides (monito del monte), 272 nucleotides long. RefSeq lists it as uncharacterized. The transcript is spliced from 3 exons. Lineage: Eukaryota; Metazoa; Chordata; Mammalia; Microbiotheria; Microbiotheriidae. The record is from RefSeq and is a predicted model, not a curated record.
CACAGCGCCUCUUUCAUGAUGGGAUCAGGCUGUGAAGCCCUCCUGAGCUCUCUGUGCAAGGAAUGUCGAGGAUGUUUUCAGUCUGGAGGUCUUCUUGGCCUGGAGGGCAAUGAGGGUUAAGUGACUUGCCCAGGGUCACACAGUCUGCGUGGGUGUCCCCUAAAACUCACUUGGCCAUCAUUCCAAGCAACAUGACGGAGGAGCAGCGCUCCAGGGCAGAGCAGGAAACCUUCUCAGUAACACGCUCCCACAGCAGCUGGGUUACUGCCGGC